This 253-nucleotide ribosomal RNA is filed under the name uncultured bacterium. Its description in RNAcentral is "partial 16S ribosomal RNA". It matches the Rfam family "Bacterial small subunit ribosomal RNA", at positions 524 to 776 of the family's 1533-position model. The record is from RNAcentral.
UACAGAGGUCUCAAGCGUUGUUCGGAUUCAUUGGGCGUAAAGGGUGCGUAGGCGGCGCGGUAAGUCGGGUGUGAAAUCUCGGAGCUUAACUCCGAAACUGCAUUCGAUACUGCCGUGCUUGAGGACUGGAGAGGAGACUGGAAUUUACGGUGUAGCGGUGAAAUGCGCAGAUAUCAGGAGGAACACCGGUGGCGAAGGCGGUUCUCUGGGCAUUACCUGACGCUGAGGAGCGAAAGUGUGGGGAGCGAACAGG